UAUUUUGGAAAGAGGUGCAAAGAAGACUGCAGAGAUGAAUGAAAAGCUCUCCAAGAUGGGCGAAAGCUCACUUAGAAACUUUACAAUGGAUACAGAGUCAAGUGUUUAUAACUUCGAAGGAGAAGACUAUAGAGAAAAACAAAAGGUAAUUUAGAAAUAGGUUUGGGUUACAUGAAAGCUUUGUUUUACUGGAAACUUGGAAUUUUAAGUGUUACUGUAAUGUCUUAUAAUUUUGCUUAAAACUAGUCAUUUUUGCUUAUUCACAUCUGAAUAUUUUCAUCAUUAUGUAAAAUUUAAUGCCAGUUUUUCAGUUGGUAAGCUCUGAAAUAUUUUUAAAGUUUUUGUUAUGAAGUUUGUGGUAUAUGUUUACAGUGAAAUAUAUUCUUGUAUGGGAUGAAUAGUAAUUUGGGUUGGUAACCUGAUUCAUUUUAUUUUAAACAGCAGAAUUGGCUGGUAAUAAAGGGAAAAAUUUCUUAACUUCAUAAGUAAUACUUGGUAAUAUAGAGAUAAAUUGAAAAAUACUCAUA
This 527-nucleotide small RNA is filed under the name Pongo abelii (Sumatran orangutan). RNAcentral's name for it is "retained intron". Lineage: Eukaryota; Metazoa; Chordata; Mammalia; Primates; Hominidae. The record is from RNAcentral.